RNAcentral lists this microRNA precursor (86 nucleotides) under Canis lupus familiaris (dog). RNAcentral describes it as "mir-8799 microRNA precursor family". It matches the Rfam family "mir-8799 microRNA precursor family". Lineage: Eukaryota; Metazoa; Chordata; Mammalia; Carnivora; Canidae. The record is from Rfam by way of RNAcentral. RNAcentral also lists the same sequence under 1 other name.
AGGGGAGGGCCGGAUCCAGAGCUGUGUCCCUUGGGCUCCAGGGCCUGCGCUGCUGGAAUUGCACCCCCGGGGCCCUGCAGCCCCCU